Rhododendron vialii is the source of this 391-nucleotide long non-coding RNA. RefSeq lists it as uncharacterized. The transcript is spliced from 2 exons. The record is from RefSeq and is a predicted model, not a curated record. Lineage: Eukaryota; Viridiplantae; Streptophyta; Magnoliopsida; Ericales; Ericaceae.
UGAGCAAAUAUGUUGUUCCAUUAUUUUUUUCCAAUUAGGGUUCUUUUCAUUGUCUUGUUAUGUUUCAGCACUCCAUGCCUAGAAGAAUCAAAUGGGUGUCUCACUUCCUCUCUUAGAUGUACUGAGACAAAAAUAUGCCCUUUGUCAUUCGUGAACUGCAAUUGGAACAUUUGAGAUGCAAAACAUCUCAUCGGGAGAAGAUUUAAUGAUGCCUCUGUGCAAAGUGACAUUAAGCUAUGACCCUUCAAGGUCAUUGCUAGUCCUGGUGACAAGCCAAUUAUUGUUGUGAACAACAAGGGUGAAGAGAAGCAGUUCGCUGUUGAGGAGGAUUUGAAUGCCUCUGUCUAGAGUGACAUCAAACAGUUCGUUUCAUUGCAUUGAGAGUCUAAUU